Molecule: ribosomal RNA, 406 nt
Filed under: uncultured bacterium
Lineage: Bacteria
Description: partial 16S ribosomal RNA
Rfam family: Bacterial small subunit ribosomal RNA
Source: RNAcentral
AUUGAACGCUGGCGGCAGGCCUAACACAUGCAAGUCGAACGAGUGGCGGACGGGUGAGUAAUGUCUGGGAAACUGCCCGAUGGAGGGGGAUAACUACUGGAAACGGUAGCUAAUACCGCAUACCAUCGGUUGCGCCCAGAUGGGAUUAGCUAGUAGGUGGGGUAAUGGCUCACCUAGGCGAUGAUCCCUAGCUGGUCUGAGAGGAUGACCAGCCACACUGGAACUGGGACACGGUCCAGACUCCUACGGGAGGCAGCAGUGGGGAGUAUUGCACAAUGGGCGCAAGCCUGAUGCGGCCAUGCCGCGUGUAUGAGAAGGGCCUUCGGGUUGUAAAGUACUUUCAGCGAGAAGGCGUUACUCGCAGAGAAAGCACCGGCUAACUCCGUGCCAGCAGCCGCGGUAAUUC